AGCAGCCGCGGUAAUUCCAGCUCCAAUAGCGUAUAUUAAAGUUGCUGCAGUUAAAAAGCUCGUAGUUGAAUUUCGGGAUCAAGGAAUCGGUCAUGCCUUGGUAUGUACUGGUUUUAUUGGUUCUCACCUUCUAAAGAACCAUAAUGUCAUUCAUUUGAUGUUAUGGGGAAUUAGGACUGUUACCUUGAAAAAAUUAGAGUGUUUAAAGCAGGCUUACGCUUGAAUACAUUAGCAUGGAAUAAUGAAAUAGGACGUUUGAUUCUAUUUUGUUGGUUUCUAGGAUCGACGUAAUGAUUAAUAGGGAUAGUUGGGGGCAUUAGUAUUCAAUUGUCAGAGGUGAAAUUCUUGGAUUUAUUGAAGACUAACUACUGCGAAAGCAUUUGCCAAGGAUGUUUUUCAUUAAUCAAGAACGAAAGUUAGGGGAUCGAAGACGAUCAGAUACCGUCGUAGUCUUAACCAUAAACUAUGCCGACUAGGGAUCGGAUGAUGUUAAUUUUUUAAUGUACUCUAUUCGGCGCCU
RNAcentral lists this ribosomal RNA (520 nucleotides) under uncultured Glomus. Its description in RNAcentral is "SSU rRNA". It matches the Rfam family "Eukaryotic small subunit ribosomal RNA", at positions 569 to 1088 of the family's 1831-position model. The record is from RNAcentral. Lineage: Eukaryota; Fungi; Glomeromycota; Glomeromycetes; Glomerales; Glomeraceae.